CCCUAACGCCAAAAACCUUAAACCUUACCCUAGCCCCAUAACCUAAUACCCGGGUAUUACCUUCAGGAAGCCCGAACACCCCAAAUAUUUUUUUUUCAUUUUACAUUUUUUUUUGGUGUAACCAACUCCAAAAGGUCUUAAACAUGUUCCUAAAAAGGUUUUGGACAGUGAUUUUAACCCUAACGCCAAAAACCUUAAACCUUACCCUAGCCCCAUAACCUCAUACCCGGGUAUUACCUUCAGGAAGCCCGAACACCCCAAAUAUUUUUUUUUUCAUUUAUCUUUUUUUUUUGUCUAACUAACUCCAAAAGGUUGGAAAAGACUUCCUACAAAGGUUUUGGACAGUGAUUUUAACCCUAACGCCAAAAACCUUAAACCUUACCCUAGCCCCAUAACCUAAUACCCGGGUAUUACCUUCAGGAAGCCCGAACACCCCAAAUAUUUUUUUUUUCAUUUUUUUUUUUUUGGUCUAACUAACUCCAAAAGGUCUGAAACAUGUUCCUAAAAGGUUUUGGACAGUGAUUUUAACCCUAACGCCAAAAACCUUAAACCUUACCCUAGCCCCAUAACCUAAUACCCGGGUAUUACCUUCAGGAAGCCCGAACACCCCAAAUAUUUUUUUUUUCAUUUUACUUUUUUUUUGGUGUAACCAACUCCAAAAGGUCUGAACAUGUUCCUAAAAGGUUUUGGACAGUGAUUUUAACCCUAACGCCAAAAACCUUAAACCUUACCCUAGCCCCAAAACCUAAUACCCGGGUAUUACCUUCAGGAAGCCCGAACACCCCAAUUUUUUUUUUUCAUUUUACAUUUUUUUUUGGUGUUACCAACUCCAAAAGGUCUGAAACAUGUUCCUAAAAAGGUUUUGGACAGUGAUUUUAACCCUAACGCCAAAAACCUUAAACCUUACCCUAGCCCCAUAACCUAAUACCCGGGUAUUACCUUCAGGAAGCCCGAACACCCCAAAUAUUUUUUUUUCAUUUUUCUUUUUUUUGGUCUAACUAACUCCAAAAGGUCUGAAACAUGUUCCUAAAAAGGUUUUGGACAGUGAUUUUAACCCUAACGCCAAAAACCUUAAACCUUACCCUAGCCCCAUAACCUAAUACCCGGGUAUUACCUUCAGGAAGCCCGAACACCCCAAAUAUAUUUUUUUUUCAUUUUUUUUUUUUUGGUGUAACCAACUCCAAAAGGUCUGAAACAUGUUCCUAAAAAGGUUUUGGACAGUGAUUUUAACCCUAACGCCAAAAACCUUAAACCUUACCCUAGCCCCAUAACCUAAUACCCGGGUAUUACCUUCAGGAAGCCCGAACACCCCAAAUAUUUUUUUUUUCAUUUUACAUUUUUUUUUGGUCUAACCAACUCCAAAAGGUCUGAAACAUGUUCCUAAAAAGGUUUUGGACAGUGAUUUUAACCCUAACGCCAAAAACCUUAAACCUAACCCUAGCCCCAUAACCUAAUACCCGGGUAUUACCUUCAGGAAGCCCGAACACCCCAAAUAUUUUUUUUUCAUUUUUCAUUUUUUUUUGGUCUAACUAACUCCAAAAGGUCUGAAACAUGUUCCUAAAAGGUUUUGGACAGUGAUUUUAACCCUACGCCAAAAACCUUAAACCUUACCCUAGCCCCAUAACCUAAUACCCGGGUAUUACCUUCAGGAAGCCCGAACACCCCAAAUAUUUUUUUUUCAUUUUACUUUUUUUUUGGUCUAACUAACUCCAAAAGGUUGGAAAAUGUUCCUAAAAGGUUUUGGACAGUGAUUUUAACCCUAACGCCAAAAACCUUAAACCUUACCCUAGCCCCAUUACCUAAUACCCGGGUAUUACCUUCAGGAAGCCCGAACACCCCAAAUAUAUAUUUUUUUCAUUUUACAUUUUUUUUGGUGUAACCAACUCCAAAAGGUCUUAAACAUGUUCCUAAAAAGGUUUUGGACAGUGAUUUUAACCCUAACGCCAAAAACCUUAAACC
Molecule: long non-coding RNA, 1959 nt
Filed under: Xyrichtys novacula (pearly razorfish)
Lineage: Eukaryota; Metazoa; Chordata; Actinopteri; Labriformes; Labridae
Source: RNAcentral